Molecule: ribosomal RNA, 405 nt
Filed under: uncultured bacterium
Lineage: Bacteria
Description: partial 16S ribosomal RNA
Rfam family: Bacterial small subunit ribosomal RNA
Source: RNAcentral
GAUGAACGCUGGCGGCGUGCCUAAUACAUGCAAGUCGAGCGAAGCGGGGACGGGUGAGUAACACGUGGAUAACCUCCUAUAAGACUGGGAUAACUUCUGGAAACCGGAGCUAAACCGGAUACUUAUAGUUGACUCCGCGCUGCAUUAGCUAGUUGGUAAGUGAACGGAUUACCAAGGCAACGAUGAAUAGCCGACCUGAGAGGGGGAUCGGCCACAAUGGAAUGGAGAAACGGUCCAGACCCCUACGGAAGGCAGCAGUAGGGAAUAUUCCGCAAUGGGCGAAAGCCGGACGGAGAAACGCCGCGUGAGUGAUGAAGGUCUUCGGAUCGUAAAACUCUGUUAUUAGGGAAGCGGUACCUAAUCAGAAAGCCACGGCUAACUACGUGCCAGCAGCCGCGGUAAUUC